This 647-nucleotide ribosomal RNA is filed under the name uncultured organism. RNAcentral describes it as "bacterial SSU rRNA". It matches the Rfam family "Bacterial small subunit ribosomal RNA", at positions 810 to 1468 of the family's 1533-position model. The record is from RNAcentral.
UGGAUACUAGGUGUAGGAGUUUAAAAUGUCCUUCUGUGCCGGAGCUAACGCGUUAAGUAUCCCGCCUGGGGAGUACGGUCGCAAGGCUAAUACUCAAAGGAAUUGACGGGGGCCCGCUCAAGCAGCGGAGCGCGUGGUUUAAUUCGAUGCAACGCGAAGAACCUUACCAGGGCUUGACAUGUAGGUAGUAGUGAAGCGAAAGCGGAACGAUCCUUCGGGAAGCCUACACAGGUGCUGCAUGGCUGUCGUCAGCUCGUGCCGUGAGGUGUUAGGUUAAGUCCUGUAACGAGCGCAACCCCUGCCGUUAGUUACAAGUGUCUAACGGGACUGCCCGGCAAAACUGGGAGGAAGGUGGGGAUGACGUCAAGUCAGCAUGGCCUUUAUGUCCUGGGCUACACACACGCUACAAUGGCCGGUACAAUGGGUUGCCAAGCCGCGAGGCGGAGCCAAUCCUCUAAAGCCGGUCUCAGUUCGGAUUGUAGGCUGCAACCCGCCUGCAUGAAGUUGGAGUUGCUAGUAACCGCAGGUCAGCCACACUGCGGUGAUACGUUCCCGGGCCUUGUACACACCGCCCGUCACGUCAUGGAAGCUGGUAACACCUGAAGCCGGUGAGCUAACCGCAAGGAAGCAACCGUCGAAGGUGGGAC